This 460-nucleotide ribosomal RNA is filed under the name uncultured bacterium. RNAcentral describes it as "partial 16S ribosomal RNA". It matches the Rfam family "Bacterial small subunit ribosomal RNA", at positions 338 to 795 of the family's 1533-position model. The record is from RNAcentral.
CCUACGGGAGGCUGCAGUGAGGAAUAUUGGUCAAUGGACGCAAGUCUGAACCAGCCAUGCCGCGUGCAGGAUGUCGGCUCUAUGAGUUGUAAACUGCUUUUGUACGAGGGUAAACCCCGAUACGUGUAUCGGGUUGAAAGUAUCGUACGAAUAAGGAUCGGCUAACUCCGUGCCAGCAGCCGCGGUAAUACGGAGGAUCCGAGCGUUAUCCGGAUUUAUUGGGUUGAAAGGGUGCGUAGGCGGUGUGAUAAGUUAGAGGUGAAAUGUCGGGGCUCAACCCCGAAACUGCCUCUAAUACUGUUGGACUAGAGAAUAGUUGCGGUAGGCGGAAUGUAUGGUGUAGCGGUGAAAGGCUUAGAGAUCAUACAGAACACCGAUUGCGAAGGCAGCUUACCAAACUAUAUCUGACGUUGAGGCACGAAAGCGUGGGUAGCAAACAGGAUUAGAUACCCUUGUAGUC